AGUCGUACGAGAGUUUUUAACUCUAGUGGCGGACGGGUGAGUAACACGUAAGAAUUUGCCUCUAGGAGGGGGACAACAAUUAGAAAUGAUUGCUAAUACCCCAUAUGCUUUCGAGUGAAAUGGAUUUUUCCGCCUAGAGAGAAGCUUGCGGCUGAUUAGCUUGUUGGUGAGGUAAUGGCUCACCAAGGCGACGAUCAGUAUCUGGUUUGAGAGGACGAUCAGACACACUGGAACUGAGACACGGUCCAGACUCCUACGGGAGGCAGCAGUGGGGAAUUUUCCGCAAUGGGCGAAAGCCUGACGGAGCAAUACCGCGUGAGGGAUGACGGCCUAUGGGUUGUAAACCUCUUUUUUCAGGGAGGAAUAAAUGACGUGUACCUGAAGAAUAAGCAUCGGCUAACUCCGUGCCAGCAGCCGCGGUAAGACGGAGGAUGCAAGUGUUAUCCGGAAUCACUGGGCGUAAAGCGUCUGUAGGUGGUCCAAUAAGUCAACUGUUAAAUCUUGAGGCUCAACCUCAAAAUCGCAGUCGAAACUAUUAGACUAGAGUAUAGUAGGGGUAAAGGGAAUUUCCAGUGGAGCGGUGAAAUGCGUAGAGAUUGGAAAGAACACCGAU
Molecule: ribosomal RNA, 613 nt
Filed under: uncultured phototrophic eukaryote
Lineage: Eukaryota
Description: bacterial SSU rRNA
Rfam family: Bacterial small subunit ribosomal RNA
Source: RNAcentral